GUCUAAGGUCGUAGGAGGUUGUACAGGCAAAUCCGUAUAACAAUACUCCGAGAACUGAAAGGCUUUUUGAAGUCUUCGGAUGGAUAGAAGAACCCCUGAUGCCGUCGAGCCAAGAAAAGUUUCUAAGUUUAGCUAAUGUUGCCCGUACCGUAAACCGACACAGGUGGGUGGGAUGAGUAUUCUAAGGCGCGUGGAAGAACUCUCUUUAAGGAACUCUGCAAAAUAGCACCGUAUCUUCGGUAUAAGGUGUGGUUAGCUUUGUAUUAGGAUUUACUCCGAAAGCAAGGAAACUUACAACAAAGAGUCCCUCCCGACUGUUUACCAAAAACACAGCACUCUGCUAACUCGUAAGAGGAUGUAUAGGGUGUGACGCCUGCCCGGUGCUCGAAGGUUAAUUGAUGGGGUUAGCAUUAGCGAAGCUCUUGAUCGAAGCCCGAGUAAACGGCGGCCGUAACUAUAACGGUCCUAAGGUAGCGAAAUUCCUUGUCGGUUAAAUACCGACCUGCAUGAAUGGCGUAACGAGAUGGGAGCUGUCUCAAAGAGGGAUCCAGUGAAAUUGUAGUGGAGGUGAAAAUUCCUCCUACCCGCGGCAAGACGGAAAGACCCCGUGGACCUUUACUACAGCUUGACACUGCUACUUGGAUAAGAAUGUGCAGGAUAGGUGGGAGGCUUUGAGUAUAUGACGCCAGUUGUAUAUGAGCCAUUGUUGAGAUACCACUCUUUCUUAUUUGGGUAGCUAACCAGCUUGAGUUAUCCUCAAGUGGGACAAUGUCUGGUGGGUAGUUUGACUGGGGCGGUCGCCUCCCAAAUAAUAACGGAGGCUUACAAAGGUUGGCUCAGAACGGUUGGAAAUCGUUCGUAGAGUAUAAAGGUAUAAGCCAGCUUAACUGCAAGACAUACAAGUCAAGCAGAGACGAAAGUCGGUCUUAGUGAUCCGGUGGUUCUGUGUGGAAGGGCCAUCGCUCAAAGGAUAAAAGGUACCCCGGGGAUAACAGGCUGAUCUCCCCCAAGAGCUCACAUCGACGGGGAGGUUUGGCACCUCGAUGUCGGCUCAUCGCAUCCUGGGGCUGGAGCAGGUCCCAAGGGUAUGGCUGUUCGCCAUUUAAAGCGGUACGCGAGCUGGGUUCAGAACGUCGUGAGACAGUUCGGUCCCUAUCUGCCGUGGGCGUAAGAAGAUUGAAGAGAUUUGACCCUAGUACGAGAGGACCGGGUUGAACAAACCACUGGUGUAGCUGUUGUUCUGCCAAGAGCAUCGCAGCGUAGCUAAGUUUGGAAAGGAUAAACGCUGAAAGCAUCUAAGCGUGAAGCCAACUCUAAGAUGAAUCUUCUCUAAGCUCUCUAGAAGACUACUAGUUUGAUAGGCUGGGUGUGUAAUGGAUGAAAGUCCUUUAGCUGACCAGUACUAAUAGAGCGUUUGGCUUAUCUUUAAUAAAGCAU
RNAcentral lists this ribosomal RNA (1437 nucleotides) under Campylobacter jejuni. RNAcentral's name for it is "partial 23S ribosomal RNA". It matches the Rfam family "Bacterial large subunit ribosomal RNA", at positions 1510 to 2925 of the family's 2925-position model. Lineage: Bacteria; Pseudomonadati; Campylobacterota; Epsilonproteobacteria; Campylobacterales; Campylobacteraceae. The record is from RNAcentral.